Long non-coding RNA from Beta vulgaris subsp. vulgaris (sugar beet), 663 nucleotides. RefSeq lists it as uncharacterized. The transcript is spliced from 2 exons. NCBI's taxonomy places the organism in Eukaryota, Viridiplantae, Streptophyta, Magnoliopsida, Caryophyllales, Amaranthaceae. The record is from RefSeq and is a predicted model, not a curated record.
AGACAUUGAAUCUAAUUAUUUUAGUAACGUAGUUUAUUAUAACAUACAGGGAGGCUUGCUAAAUUACUAUAUUUUUUUGCAUAUUAACAAAAUCAUUAAUAUUAACCGUGGGAUACAAGCCAUAAAACAAACUGACCCGUUAGAUCAUCUCCUAACCAAUCACCUUUUCCCUCGCCUCUUUCCUCCAAACUCAUAUUUCCCAACCAAAAACCUACUAAACUCAUGUUGCUCCCUCCUUCCAUCCUCCAUUCCUCCUUGCCAGCUGCCUCAAUCGGGAUUCGGCAACCACCGCGUAGGCCCAUCGCUAGCAAAACACAUUGCCAUCAUCAUCUAAUCUAUAAACACCGGUUAGCCGUCUCCACUUCCCAAAACUUCAGAUCCUCGCAGCUGCCGUCUCCAGAUCCUCUUAAACCAACCCCCACCAACUCCAAAUUCGCCUUCUUCGACACCUCUGACGAUGUCCAAGACAAGAAGUAGCCGACGAUUUGCUUGACAAGAUGGUGUUGUUAUUGUUGGAGGUGUUGUACUCGUGCAUAUUUUUUGUAAUUCCAUUGCUAUUUCCUAUGCACUUUUUUUUGUUUUUGUUGUUUCUGUGCAUUUUUUUUUUGUUAUUUUCCUGUAAUUUUGAUUUUGAUUUCAUAUUUAAUUAGUUAAUUUAAGUAA